AUUGAACGCUGGCGGCAUGCCUAACACAUGCAAGUCGAACGGUAACGCGGGGGCAACCCUGGCGACGAGUGGCGGACGGGUGAGUAAUACGUAGGAAUCUACCCAUGAGUGGGGGACAACCCGGGGAAACCCGGGCUAAUACCGCAUACGCUCUACGGAGGAAAACGGGGGAUCGUAAGACCUCGUGCUGAUGGAUGAGCCUACGUCGGAUUAGCUAGUUGGUAGGGUAAAGGCCUACCAAGGCGACGAUCCGUAGCUGGUCUGAGAGGACGAUCAGCCACACUGGGACUGAGACACGGCCCAGACUCCUACGGGAGGCUG
Molecule: ribosomal RNA, 321 nt
Filed under: uncultured Pseudomonadota bacterium
Lineage: Bacteria; Pseudomonadati; Pseudomonadota
Description: bacterial SSU rRNA
Rfam family: Bacterial small subunit ribosomal RNA
Source: RNAcentral